CUUUUCCUCCGCACAGUUUUUGAUCAAUCUCCCCCUCAGUGUUUACAAGCAGACUUGUCCUUGGUUAUUGGGAGUGGUGCUCCUCCAUUCGAUAUGUAAAGGAAACCGUGCCACUAUCAUAACAAAUAUUUCGCUUUUAAUGCUGAGGAUAUCUUAUACCAAUCAUUAGAUAGAAAGGAUUAGAGGUGGAAAAGUCAAGCAUUACGUGCCGUCAUGUUCUAGAGAAGAGACCAGUUAUUCUCUUUCGAUCAGAGUUCAUGCAUCAAAGAAUGCAUUUUAAUCUUAGAGCAGAGCCAAGACUUAUGUGUACUGUAUUUAAAUAUACCCUCUCAAAGACUUUAAGACAGUAGAAUUACUUUAGAACUGUACAAGACGAACAGGCCUAUCAAUGAAAGAUGACGAAUAAUAAGAGAUUAUGUCCCCCUAUACAAGGCACAGUGGAAAGUUCAAAGUCCAGGCCACAGAUCUCCAAAUCACAGAUCUCCAAAAUACAACAAUACUAAACCUACAGAGCAGAAAUAGACCAAUAAAACAGCUUGAAGCUGACAAUGAAGCUGGAAAAAAUUU
This is a long non-coding RNA of Hyla sarda, 567 nucleotides long. RefSeq lists it as uncharacterized. NCBI's taxonomy places the organism in Eukaryota, Metazoa, Chordata, Amphibia, Anura, Hylidae. The transcript is spliced from 3 exons. The record is from RefSeq and is a predicted model, not a curated record.